RNAcentral lists this ribosomal RNA (2190 nucleotides) under Escherichia coli. RNAcentral describes it as "partial 23S ribosomal RNA". It matches the Rfam family "Bacterial large subunit ribosomal RNA", at positions 1 to 2207 of the family's 2925-position model. The record is from RNAcentral. Lineage: Bacteria; Pseudomonadati; Pseudomonadota; Gammaproteobacteria; Enterobacterales; Enterobacteriaceae.
GGGUUGUGAGGUUAAGCGACUAAGCGUACACGGUGGAUGCCCUGGCAGUCAGAGGCGAUGAAGGACGUGCUAAUCUGCGAUAAGCGUCGGUGAGGUGAUAUGAACCGUUAUAACCGGCGAUUUCCGAAUGGGGAAACCCAGUGUGUUUCGACACACUAUCAUUAACUGAAUCCAUAGGUUAAUGAGGCGAACCGGGGGAACUGAAACAUCUAAGUACCCCGAGGAAAAGAAAUCAACCGAGAUUCCCCCAGUAGCGGCGAGCGAACGGGGAGGAGCCCAGAGCCUGAAUCAGUGUGUGUGUUAGUGGAAGCGUCUGGAAAGGCGUGCGAUACAGGGUGACAGCCCCGUACACAAAAAUGCACAUAUUGUGAGCUCGAUGAGUAGGGCGGGACACGUGGUAUCCUGUCUGAAUAUGGGGGGACCAUCCUCCAAGGCUAAAUACUCCUGACUGACCGAUAGUGAACCAGUACCGUGAGGGAAAGGCGAAAAGAACCCCGGCGAGGGGAGUGAAAAAGAACCUGAAACCGUGUACGUACAAGCAGUGGGAGCCUCUUAAUGGGGUGACUGCGUACCUUUUGUAUAAUGGGUCAGCGACUUAUAUUCUGUAGCAAGGUUAACCGAAUAGGGGAGCCGAAGGGAAACCGAGUCUUAACUGGGCGUUAAGUUGCAGGGUAUAGACCCGAAACCCGGUGAUCUAGCCAUGGGCAGGUUGAAGGUUGGGUAACACUAACUGGAGGACCGAACCGACUAAUGUUGAAAAAUUAGCGGAUGACUUGUGGCUGGGGGUGAAAGGCCAAUCAAACCGGGAGAUAGCUGGUUCUCCCCGAAAGCUAUUUAGGUAGCGCCUCGUGAAUUCAUCUCCGGGGGUAGAGCACUGUUUCGGCAAGGGGGUCAUCCCGACUUACCAACCCGAUGCAAACUGCGAAUACCGGAGAAUGUUAUCACGGGAGACACACGGCGGGUGCUAACGUCCGUCGUGAAGAGGGAAACAACCCAGACCGCCAGCUAAGGUCCCAAAGUCAUGGUUAAGUGGGAAACGAUGUGGGAAGGCCCAGACAGCCAGGAUGUUGGCUUAGAAGCAGCCAUCAUUUAAAGAAAGCGUAAUAGCUCACUGGUCGAGUCGGCCUGCGCGGAAGAUGUAACGGGGCUAAACCAUGCACCGAAGCUGCGGCAGCGACACUAUGUGUUGUUGGGUAGGGGAGCGUUCUGUAAGCCUGUGAAGGUGGCCUGUGAGGGUUGCUGGAGGUAUCAGAAGUGCGAAUGCUGACAUAAGUAACGAUAAAGCGGGUGAAAAGCCCGCUCGCCGGAAGACCAAGGGUUCCUGUCCAACGUUAAUCGGGGCAGGGUGAGUCGACCCCUAAGGCGAGGCCGAAAGGCGUAGUCGAUGGGAAACAGGUUAAUAUUCCUGUACUUGGUGUUACUGCGAAGGGGGGACGGAGAAGGCUAUGUUGGCCGGGCGACGGUUGUCCCGGUUUAAGCGUGUAGGCUGGUUUUCCAGGCAAAUCCGGAAAACCAAGGCUGAGGCGUGAUGACGAGGCACUACGGUGCUGAAGCGACAAAUGCCCUGCUUCCAGGAAAAGCCUCUAAGCAUCAGGUAACAUCAAAUCGUACCCCAAACCGACACAGGUGGUCAGGUAGAGAAUACCAAGGCGCUUGAGAGAACUCGGGUGAAGGAACUAGGCAAAAUGGUGCCGUAACUUCGGGAGAAGGCACGCUGAUAUGUAGGUGAAGCGACUUGCUCGUGGAGCUGAAAUCAGUCGAAGAUACCAGCUGGCUGCAACUGUUUAUUAAAAACACAGCACUGUGCAAACACGAAAGUGGACGUAUACGGUGUGACGCCUGCCCGGUGCCGGAAGGUUAAUUGAUGGGGUUAGCGGCAACGCGAAGCUCUUGAUCGAAGCCCCGGUAAACGGCGGCCGUAACUAUAACGGUCCUAAGGUAGCGAAAUUCCUUGUCGGGUAAGUUCCGACCUGCACGAAUGGCGUAAUGAUGGCCAGGCUGUCUCCACCCGAGACUCAGUGAAAUUGAACUCGCUGUGAAGAUGCAGUGUACCCGCGGCAAGACGGAAAGACCCCGUGAACCUUUACUAUAGCUUGACACUGAACAUUGAGCCUUGAUGUGUAGGAUAGGUGGGAGGCUUUGAAGUGUGGACGCCAGUCUGCAUGGAGCCGACCUUGAAAUACCACCCUU